Non-coding RNA from Phrynosoma platyrhinos (Desert horned lizard), 71 nucleotides. The record is from the annotation of a GenBank genome assembly. NCBI's taxonomy places the organism in Eukaryota, Metazoa, Chordata, Lepidosauria, Squamata, Phrynosomatidae.
GCCAGUGUGGCAUAGUGGUUGGAGAGUUGGACUGGUACUCGGGAGAUCAGGGUUCAAAUCCCCACUGAGCC